GUGGGGAAUAUUGCACAAUGGGCGAAAGCCUGAUGCAGCAACGCCGCGUGAAGGAAGACGGUUUUCGGAUUGUAAACUUCUAUCAAUAGGGAAGAAAGGAAUGACGGUACCUAAAUAAGAAGCCCCGGCUAACUACGUGCCAGCAGCCGCGGUAAUACGUAGGGGGCAAGCGUUAUCCGGAAUUACUGGGUGUAAAGGGAGAGUAGGCGGCAAGGUAAGCGAUAUGUGAAAGCCUUAGGCUUAACCUGAGGAUUGCAUAACGAACUAUCUAGCUAGAGUACAGGAGAGGAAAGCGGAAUUCUUAGUGUAGCGGUGAAAUGCGUAGAUAUUAGGAAGAACACCAGUGGCGAAGGCGGCUUUCUGGACUGAAACUGACGCUGAGGCUCGAAAGCGUGGGGAGCGAACAGGAUUAGAAACCCCUGUAGUCC
This 428-nucleotide ribosomal RNA is filed under the name uncultured bacterium. Its description in RNAcentral is "bacterial SSU rRNA". It matches the Rfam family "Bacterial small subunit ribosomal RNA", at positions 354 to 796 of the family's 1533-position model. The record is from RNAcentral.